This 300-nucleotide unclassified non-coding RNA is filed under the name Phylloporus sp. RNAcentral describes it as "partial contains small subunit ribosomal RNA and internal transcribed spacer 1". The stretch from base 1 to 46 matches the Rfam family "Eukaryotic small subunit ribosomal RNA", at positions 1786 to 1831 of the family's 1831-position model. The record is from RNAcentral. Lineage: Eukaryota; Fungi; Basidiomycota; Agaricomycetes; Boletales; Boletaceae.
AAGUCGUAACAAGGUUUCCGUAGGUGAACCUGCGGAAGGAUCAUUAACACUAUUUCCAAAAAAAACAUAUCCAAUUUCCUUUGGAUAUUUUACCCCAAUUAGUGAACUCUGUUAGGAAGUGCUUCAUAGCGGAGAAUUGUAAAAAACUCUCUGCUCCCUGACCGCUUCCGCUUUUUUCCUUUUCUAAACAAAAAACCCAAUUGAAUUUUUUGACUGAACUUUUAUUUCUUCUUUUUCAGAAAUGGAAAAGAGAUAUACAUCUAAGAAAUGUUGAAACAACUCUUAGCAACGGAUAUCUUG